This 652-nucleotide long non-coding RNA is filed under the name Gossypium raimondii (Peruvian cotton). RNAcentral describes it as "long non-coding RNA (GRAI_LNC006911)". The record is from RNAcentral. Lineage: Eukaryota; Viridiplantae; Streptophyta; Magnoliopsida; Malvales; Malvaceae.
UAGCCACCACAUUUCCUUCACUUCUUUCCUCAUCAAAGUCCAAGUUCAGUGGCGCCGCCGUAUCGUUGCCUAGUGCUGUUGGUACCAAUCAUGGCCACCGUGUUAGCAUGUCAGCUGACUGGAUGCCUGGUCAACCUAGACCACCUUACCUUGAUGGGUCAGCACCAGGGUAAGGUUUCAAAGUAGCUACAAAAGUUAACAACAAAUGUAUUUAUAGCCAUUUUUCUUACACCUAAAGCUUUUUUUUUCAGUGACUUUGGGUUUGACCCACUAAGACUAGGUGAGGUCCCUGAGAACCUUGAGAGGUACAAAGAAUCUGAGUUGAUUCACUGCAGAUGGGCUAUGCUUGCUGUUGUAAGUGUUCCAUCUUUGUUAAUUUAAUUAGCAGACAAAUUGUAUAGAAGGUUCAUGUGCUUUGCAUCUUUUACAAAUUUAGUCUCAUUUAAUUAUUCAAUUCCUAUUUCAAAUUUGGGUUAAUUUUUGCAGCCAGGUAUAUUGGUACCAGAGGGCUUAGGGUUAGGAAACUGGGUAAAAGCUCAAGAAUGGGCAGCAAUUCCAGGUGGCCAAGCCACUUACUUAGGGAACCCAGUCCCAUGGGGUACCCUCCCCACCAUCUUGGUCAUUGAAUUCCUAUCUAUCGCCUUCGUUGAGC